Molecule: small RNA, 155 nt
Filed under: Enterocloster lavalensis
Lineage: Bacteria; Bacillati; Bacillota; Clostridia; Lachnospirales; Lachnospiraceae
Description: ydaO/yuaA leader
Rfam family: c-di-AMP riboswitch aptamer (ydaO/yuaA leader)
About the family: This family represents a conserved RNA structure found upstream of the ydaO and yuaA genes in Bacillus subtilis and related genes in other bacteria.
Source: RNAcentral
AUACGCCGAAUGCCGCGCCCUGUAAACCAACAGAAGCGGCAGCGGGAGAACCAAUUAUUGGGGUGUAUUUGCCCGGAGAUACAAUGAGCGCCACGUAUCCCGGCAAUAGGGAACCUUCUUUCCCGAACCCGUCAGCUAAUCUCGUAGGCGAAGGA